GAUCAACGCUGGCGGCGUGCCUAAUGCAUGCAAGUCGAACGGGGUCGCUUCGGCGGCUUACGUGGCGGACGGGUGAGGAACACGUGGGGAAUCUGUCCCGAGGUGGGGGGUAGCCCGCGGAAACGUGGGGUAAUUCCGCAUGAGCACGCUCCUUUGUAGGGGGAGUGUGGAAAGAUCUUCGGAUCGCCGUUGGGGGGAGCCUGCGGCCGAUUAGCUUGUUGGUGGGGUAAUGGCUUACCAAGGCAGUGAUCGGUAGCUGGUCUGAGAGGACGGCCAGCCACA
Molecule: ribosomal RNA, 282 nt
Filed under: uncultured bacterium
Lineage: Bacteria
Description: partial 16S ribosomal RNA
Rfam family: Bacterial small subunit ribosomal RNA
Source: RNAcentral